RNAcentral lists this ribosomal RNA (729 nucleotides) under uncultured eukaryote. RNAcentral's name for it is "SSU rRNA". It matches the Rfam family "Eukaryotic small subunit ribosomal RNA", at positions 670 to 1426 of the family's 1831-position model. The record is from RNAcentral.
CGCGUGUACUGGUCCGGCCGGGCCUUUCCCUCUGUGGAACCCCAUGCCCUUCACUGGGUGUGGCGGGGAAACAGGACUUUUACUGUGAAAAAAUUAGAGUGCUCCAGGCAGGCCUAUGCUCGAAUACAUUAGCAUGGAAUAAUAGAAUAGGACGUGUGGUUCUAUUUUGUUGGUUUCUAGGACCGCCGUAAUGAUUAAUAGGGACAGUCGGGGGCAUCAGUAUUCAAUUGUCAGAGGUGAAAUUCUUGGAUUUAUUGAAGACUAACUACUGCGAAAGCAUUUGCCAAGGAUGUUUUCAUUAAUCAGGAACGAAAGUUAGGGGAUCGAAGACGAUCAGAUACCGUCGUAGUCUUAACCAUAAACUAUGCCGACUAGGGAUCGGACGGUGUUAUAUUUUGACCCGUUCGGCACCUUACGAGAAAUCAAAGUGCUUGGGCUCCAGGGGGAGUAUGGUCGCAAGGCUGAAACUUAAAGAAAUUGACGGAAGGGCACCACCAGGGGUGGAGCCUGCGGCUUAAUUUGACUCAACACGGGGAAACUCACCAGGUCCAGACACAAUGAGGAUUGGCAGAUUGAGAGCUCUUUCUUGAUUUUGUGGGUGGUGGUGCAUGGCCGUUCUUAGUUGGUGGAGUGAUUUGUCUGCUUAAUUGCGAUAACGAACGAGACCUUAACCUGCUAAAUAGCCCGUAUUGCUUUGGCAGUACGCUGGCUUCUUAGAGGGACUAUCGG